Molecule: long non-coding RNA, 1895 nt
Organism: Loxodonta africana (African savanna elephant)
Lineage: Eukaryota; Metazoa; Chordata; Mammalia; Proboscidea; Elephantidae
Exons: 4
Source: RefSeq, a predicted model, not a curated record
CCGGGUAACCGUGAACACGUAGCUCUCCGCCCCAAAGCCAGGACGGCAGGGCUCCGGCUCCUCACAGAGCCACGCCGAAACCUGCAGUGAGGGAAAGGGGAGCGCGCCGCAGCUUCCAGGCCGUUCUCGCCCUUCGGACCCAAACUUUCUCUGAAGGAGGAGCGGGGACAGUGCGAGAGAAGAGGGGACGCAGAGCCGAGGCGCGGAGCGUGGGGCCAGAAUGCUUUCUCUGAAGUCAGGUGCUCUUGGACUCCGGACGCCACUGAGCAGAGCAGCGCUGCGGCCACCAGAUUUUAAAGCAAAAUCCCAGGGUACCUGUCAUUUCCCCUGAAAAUAUUUCAUAUACAUCUCUGAGAAAGACUUUCUUUUUUUUUUACAUAAUGAUGUAAGGUAUGAAACAUCACAAAGCAAAAAGAAACUUUUAUUUGGCAUAUAUUCAAAAAAGGCAAAAGUGGGAAAUGGACAAGCAUGCUGCCAGAACCAUGUCUGCCUGAAUCCAAGAAAAUUACAGAAUAGACAAAAGAAGGAAAAUGGACAAGCAUGCUGCUAGAGCCAUGUCAGCUGGACUCCAAGGAAAUACUACAGAAUAAGCAAGAAUGGGAAAACGGACAAGCAUGCUACCAGAGCCAUGUCCACCGGAGUCCAAGGAAACUUCAGUGUAUAUUAACAUUACAAGUGGGCAAAGACUUUGAAUGCUUCACCUUUUCACAGAUUGGCAAGAAACUGUGAUCCUACAUUUUGAAUUGUCUUUCUUAAUCAUUGGUACAGGUUUCAGUAUGGACAGUCAUGAGGGUCUUCACUGGUCCAACAAAUUUUCUGUUUACUAAAAGCUUAUAGAAAAAGAUAAGAACGGAAAGUCUUUUGUGUCCUGUUUGAUUGGUUUAUGUGAAAGAUUCCCUAAAAGAUUUCCCAAGAUUGUCUUAGCUGUUGUCUUUAUAUCUUAGGACCCAGUUGAUGUGUCUGUACGACUCCUUGUGAGUCCAGCUUCAGCUGGGUCACAUUCUCUAUGCUCAAGGACAGGGAAUAAUGACUCCAAUAUUAUUUCCUAAAUCAAUAGUCAUAAUGCCAUUGGGAAUAACACCUAAUAAAGUUAACAAUAAUAAUUUCUAGAUAUCAUCCAAUGGCUAAGCCAUAUUUUUACAGUAAGUGUUUAAAUCAGUGAGACAGAACCCCCGCAGUGCUGUAUUCUUUACCUGGCUUCCUCCCCUACAGUUUUGUAUUGCAAAAUCCUUUCCUUUGCUGGGCUCCCCUACCCCUCAGCUUUGCAUUUGAAUCCUGCCUUUGCUUGGAGGUUGUAUGUAAACCCCAUUGUGCCUGCAUAGUAUGAUUAAGAAUGUUGCUAAUGUAACAUGUAUGAGCUCCCUACUUGUAAACCCUUUUAAAAGUAACCAACCGGCAUGCCCACCCCUGGCGAGCAGUCUUGGCAGCAGUAAGCACCGACUGACUCCAUUUCCUUGUACAAUAAAAUAAAGGUGCCUUUUUUGUUCUCUCACCUCAGUCUCUUGUUUAUUGGCCAAUACAAGUCAUGCUGAGUAAGAACCUGGGUUUUCCACCUGGUAACAUCUCCACUCAAAAAACGGCCAUACUUCACAAUUGGCUAUUACGUCUCUUAAGUCUCUUUUUUAUCUGUAACAAUUCCCCCAUUCCUUUUGUUUAGUUUUAUUGAGCUAUAAUUGACUGCAAUAUUUUAAGUGUAUCACUGAUGAGUUUUUGUUUUUGUUUUUAACUAUAAACAUUUAAACAUUUAUUCAGUAGUUAUUAAAUGCCAAUUGUGUGCACAGCCUUAGACCAGAUUUUUUUUAUUAACUUUUAUUGAGCUUCAAGUGAACGUUUACAAAUCAAGUCAGACUGUCACAUAUAAGUUUAUAUACACCUUACUCCGUACUCCCACUUGC